Mya arenaria is the source of this 479-nucleotide long non-coding RNA. RefSeq lists it as uncharacterized. The record is from RefSeq and is a predicted model, not a curated record. The transcript is spliced from 3 exons. NCBI's taxonomy places the organism in Eukaryota, Metazoa, Mollusca, Bivalvia, Myida, Myidae.
UUGAACAAAACUACUUAUUUCAAUCCGCUCAAAAUUUAUUUAAUACUGAAAUUGUCCGUGCAUGACCUAAAUAAGUGUUACUAUUUUUAAACUAUAAACAUCGUACAUUUAUGCUUUGGCUUGUGUUGUCAAAUCGGCAUUAAUGGCCAUUUAAUAUCAGGUUCAACAUGGACACGAUUGAUUUCAUUCAAGAUAGAGCACUUUGUCGACGGGAAAUCCAAUCAAGAAAACCCUGACCCUCAAGCAGCUAAUGUAUUUGACCAGCUCACACCAGCUAGGCCUCCUCCAAAACUCAGAUAAAUAUUUGAGCCACCAAAAAAAACGAGAACAGAUCGGUCUGAAUCGUUAAGAACUGAAGCUAACAUCAUAGAGGUACAUCCUUCCAAGAAUCCAUCAAAACAACAUGCUGAACAACUUCAAGAACUCUCUUCAAAAGACCACACUUUCCUGAAAUAAAUAAAAGAUGCCAACAUUAAAAU